This 92-nucleotide transfer RNA is filed under the name Felis catus (domestic cat). It matches the Rfam family "tRNA". Rfam says of the family: Transfer RNA (tRNA) molecules are approximately 80 nucleotides in length. RNAcentral also lists the same sequence under 4 other names. The record is from Rfam by way of RNAcentral. Lineage: Eukaryota; Metazoa; Chordata; Mammalia; Carnivora; Felidae.
GCCUGAGUAGCUCAGUUGGUUAAGCAGCCAACUCUUGGUUUCAGCUCACAUCAUGAUCUGAUGUUUUGUGGGUUCAAGCCCCAUAUCAGGCU